This 1629-nucleotide ribosomal RNA is filed under the name Salmonella enterica. RNAcentral's name for it is "partial 23S ribosomal RNA". It matches the Rfam family "Bacterial large subunit ribosomal RNA", at positions 1192 to 2803 of the family's 2925-position model. Lineage: Bacteria; Pseudomonadati; Pseudomonadota; Gammaproteobacteria; Enterobacterales; Enterobacteriaceae. The record is from RNAcentral.
CACCGAAGCUGCGGCAGCGACACUGUGUGUUGUUGGGUAGGGGAGCGUUCUGUAAGCCUGUGAAGGUGUGUCGUGAGGCAUGCUGGAGGUAUCAGAAGUGCGAAUGCUGACAUAAGUAACGAUAAAGCGGGUGAAAAGCCCGCUCGCCGGAAGACCAAGGGUUCCUGUCCAACGUUAAUCGGGGCAGGGUGAGUCGACCCCUAAGGCGAGGCCGAAAGGCGUAGUCGAUGGGAAACGGGUUAAUAUUCCCGUACUUGGUGUUACUGCGAAGGGGGGACGGAGAAGGCUAUGUUGGCCGGGCGACGGUUGUCCCGGUUUAAGCGUGUAGGUGUGUGUUCCAGGUAAAUCCGGUUCACUUUAACACUGAGGCGUGACGACGAGGCACUACGGUGCUGAAGCAACAAAUGCCCUGCUUCCAGGAAAAGCCUCUAAGCAUCAGGUAACAUCAAAUCGUACCCCAAACCGACACAGGUGGUCAGGUAGAGAAUACCAAGGCGCUUGAGAGAACUCGGGUGAAGGAACUAGGCAAAAUGGUGCCGUAACUUCGGGAGAAGGCACGCUGACACGUAGGUGAAGUGAUUUACUCAUGGAGCUGAAGUCAGUCGAAGAUACCAGCUGGCUGCAACUGUUUAUUAAAAACACAGCACUGUGCAAACACGAAAGUGGACGUAUACGGUGUGACGCCUGCCCGGUGCCGGAAGGUUAAUUGAUGGGGUCAGCGCAAGCGAAGCUCCUGAUCGAAGCCCCGGUAAACGGCGGCCGUAACUAUAACGGUCCUAAGGUAGCGAAAUUCCUUGUCGGGUAAGUUCCGACCUGCACGAAUGGCGUAAUGAUGGCCAGGCUGUCUCCACCCGAGACUCAGUGAAAUUGAACUCGCUGUGAAGAUGCAGUGUACCCGCGGCAAGACGGAAAGACCCCGUGAACCUUUACUAUAGCUUGACACUGAACAUUGAGCCUUGAUGUGUAGGAUAGGUGGGAGGCUUUGAAGUGUGGACGCCAGUCUGCAUGGAGCCGACCUUGAAAUACCACCCUUUAAUGUUUGAUGUUCUAACGUGGACCCGUUACCCGGGUUGCGGACAGUGUCUGGUGGGUAGUUUGACUGGGGCGGUCUCCUCCUAAAGAGUAACGGAGGAGCACGAAGGUUGGCUAAUCCUGGUCGGACAUCAGGAGGUUAGUGCAAUGGCAUAAGCCAGCUUGACUGCGAGCGUGACGGCGCGAGCAGGUGCGAAAGCAGGUCAUAGUGAUCCGGUGGUUCUGAAUGGAAGGGCCAUCGCUCAACGGAUAAAAGGUACUCCGGGGAUAACAGGCUGAUACCGCCCAAGAGUUCAUAUCGACGGCGGUGUUUGGCACCUCGAUGUCGGCUCAUCACAUCCUGGGGCUGAAGUAGGUCCCAAGGGUAUGGCUGUUCGCCAUUUAAAGUGGUACGCGAGCUGGGUUUAGAACGUCGUGAGACAGUUCGGUCCCUAUCUGCCGUGGGCGCUGGAGAACUGAGGGGGGCUGCUCCUAGUACGAGAGGACCGGAGUGGACGCAUCACUGGUGUUCGGGUUGUCAUGCCAAUGGCACUGCCCGGUAGCUAAAUGCGGAAGAGAUAAGUGCUGAAAGCAUCUAAGCACGAAACUUGCCCCGAG